UCGGGGAGCUGUCCGGACGCAGACGUCGAGCUUCUCUUCUGUCUCUGCGCGUUUUUCAGCUCGGUUCCGACCUCGGUUCCUCAGAGGGGGCAGAUAUUUGUCCUGUGAAGCCGGAGGACCCCGCCUGCUGUCCCGCCGUCCUCGCAGCAGCAGCAUGCCGGACGUCAGGCUGUGCCUGGAGGCCGUCUCCGCGCUCCUGGGCUGCAGAGCCGAAGCGACAACCGGAAGCUCCCAGUUCACCCCGCAGGACCUGGUCAACGUCGUGGCCCUCAAAGAGUUUUACAAGCAGGAGGGCUUUAAGGAGCUGGAGUACCCCAGCUUGGGGACGCUGUCUCUGCACGACUUAGACGAAGCCGACAUGUACAGCUCGCCCCCGGCCCUGGACGCGCCUCCCGAGAGCUUCCAGCUCACUGUGGAAAUCAACACGGAGAACUUCUUCCACCCUCAGUACGACUACGACUUCACCAACGUAAAGGAUGGAGAUAAGAAGUUCACGCGUGGUAACGAGCAGUACAUCCGCCCCUGCGGGUGGAACCGCGCCGCCCUGCGGGUCGUGCAGAAGUACAGCGAUGGGGACAAGUGGCUGGGGACGGGGCAGGACGCCUGGCCCGUGUCCUACCAGGGGAAAGACAUGGACGGCUCCCUCAUCCUGACCCACGGCGGCAAGCCCGACGACCAGCCACAGUUUCUGGAUGCCGCCGCCGCCUCUUUGUUAACGGAAGGGACGAAGGGCCGAGGGGUGUACUCCACGCCGGACAUCAGGAUCGCAGAGAAGUACUGCAAGAAGUUCAAGUCCAGAGUGGACGGGAAGACGUACCAGGUGGUCCUCCAGAACCGCAUAAACCCGGAGAAAAGGAAGUCGUGCCAGAGGCAAGACGUCUGGGUGGUGUACAUCCCCGAGGACACCAGCGACGUGAGGGUGAGGGCCAUCGUGCAGGAGUCCAUCCGCCCGUACGGGCUGCUGCUGAAGCAGGUGUGAUGCAGCUGGAACGACCUGCCGUCACUUCAGCUUCACGAUUUUCACAUUGUUAACAAAAAACUGAGAACAUGCUUCAAAUUCCCAACGGUGGGACUAAUAAAGUUUAGUAAAAGUACGGCCGUCUGAUCAAACCUCGCUGAACCGCGCUGCCUUUCAGUCUCCUCACAGCUCCAAUCACAACAUUAGAUCCAAACCACCCAUGAAUAAGCCUUCAUCUCAAACACAGGAGGAGGGACGCGUGCAGCGCGGUUAGCGGCGUCCUGCCUCACGCUGCGAUCCUUUCGCUCGGUGUCAGAGUUGGAGGUCAGACCUCUGAGUCCCAAACUUCUUCACAUUCCUAGUUUUUAAGCCUCGAUAGUGAGGCGGGGUCAGAGGGCAGACCCCGUCAGUCACAGGUGAGCGCACACCGGCUUUAAGAUUUUACUAAUUAAACUUCACGUUGUUAUUUUUAAUAAGACUUGAACCUAAUGAGCUCAGGAUAACUUGCUCGCUGCAGUCUAAGAGACGAUAGAUCGUUAUUGUCACAGUUACCAUGAAACACUGACAGCUGCUGCCCCCUGCUGGUCCCAGCAACCACUGCAGGCUUCAGAGCUACAUCCAGGUGUGUUUCCAGUACAGGCUGAGGGUGGUCUGCAGAGACGCUGAAAGUGGCGUUAGAUUGAAUUCUCGUCCUGUUUUCCUUCCUGUCUGAUCAGCAGCACUGGAUCCACUCUUUUCUUUGAUGAUCAGAGAAGGAGAUGAUUUUGCUUCAGUCUUGUUCUUAUUUGAAAAGGUUGCUGUGAGGUGUGACGCCACAGGUCUGAUGUUUUUCAUGGCAUCGUUUCAAAUGUAAGAAUGGAAAUGAUAAAGAAUCUCUUAUAUUUAGCUUGUGCGGGGUCUCCACGCUGCCACCAGCUGUGAGAACAGAUGUUUUCCUUGUACAUGUGAAUUUGAUUUGCUUGAAUGGAAUUAAACAGAGCGCACUCA
Molecule: long non-coding RNA, 1945 nt
Organism: Astatotilapia calliptera (eastern happy)
Lineage: Eukaryota; Metazoa; Chordata; Actinopteri; Cichliformes; Cichlidae
Source: Ensembl